ACGGGAGGCAGCAGUGGGGAAUAUUGCACAAUGGGGGAAACCCUGAUGCAGCGACGCCGCGUGAGUGAAGAAGUAUUUCGGUAUGUAAAGCUCUAUCAGCAAGGAAGAAAAUGACGGUACUUGACUAAGAAGCCCCGGCUAACUACGUGCCAGCAGCCGCGGUAAUACGUAGGGGGCAAGCGUUAUCCGGAUUUACUGGGUGUAAAGGGAGCGUAGACGGUGAGGCAAGUCUGAAGUGAAAUGCGGAGGCUCAACCUCCGAACUGCUUUGGAAACUGUCUAACUUGAGUGCAGGAGAGGUAAGUGGAAUUCCUAGUGUAGCGGUGAGAUGCGUAGAUAUUAGGAGGAACACCAGUGGCGAAGGCGGCUUACUGGACUGUAACUGACGUUGAGGCUCGAAAGCGUGGGGAGCAAACAGGAUUAGAUACCCUGGUA
RNAcentral lists this ribosomal RNA (434 nucleotides) under uncultured Lachnospiraceae bacterium. Its description in RNAcentral is "bacterial SSU rRNA". It matches the Rfam family "Bacterial small subunit ribosomal RNA", at positions 341 to 792 of the family's 1533-position model. Lineage: Bacteria; Bacillati; Bacillota; Clostridia; Lachnospirales; Lachnospiraceae. The record is from RNAcentral.